This is a long non-coding RNA of Capra hircus (goat), 459 nucleotides long. RefSeq lists it as uncharacterized. The transcript has 3 exons. Lineage: Eukaryota; Metazoa; Chordata; Mammalia; Artiodactyla; Bovidae. The record is from RefSeq and is a predicted model, not a curated record.
ACCAACCCUUCAGACUCGAGUUUCUGGUGGCUGCACUGAUGCUUCAUCUCCUGCCAUGUGCAAAACUGCUGGGCACAGCACUCAAUUCUGCAGACAGUGGAGCCAAGUGGGCUGUGCACAGUGGCAGUAUAAACAGCAGCUCUACAGGUGGUCUUCUUUAAACAAUCUGCUGAAAGCAUGUUUGGCCUGUCCAUCAGUCCACAGUCAACUGAAGUCAUUUUUAAGAAUUUCCAACUCUAGGGAGAAUAAAUCACACAAGUUCUACCCACUGUAAAGACGACUGUGAGAUUUGAGAGGUACUGGAGAUGAAAGCACUUCCAAUGUGUGAGGAGUUAAAAAAUGUUACUCAUCUUAUGAUAAAAAUAGCCAUAAUGAUGAAGAUGUUGGUAACUGCUCUAAUUGGUUUUCUUUUUGUUUUAUCUCACGCAGACGAUAUGCAAUUAAAGCUCUUAUUAAAUC